UCUCGAACUCAGAGCCGACUGGUGACAUGUCUCCGUUCGGGCUGGCUACACACCGGCCGGCCGGGUACCCAAACGCCAUCUCGGAGCAGUCACCGCAGGCUGGAGCCUUAUCCCUGCCUCGACCUUCAGGAAGACCGUCCGGUCCAGGCCCCCGGGGAGCAACCCUACUCCCAACCACGCACUUUCCCGCCAGUGGCCUGCGGGCGUAGUGGGCGUGGCGUUCAUAUCCCCCACUAGCCGCAGGGGCUUCCAAGGUGGAACACACCGGCUCUAGGAACUCUGGAGCUGGGCGACGGGGUCCGCCCGAGCCCUUCCUCAGUUGCGCCAACCCCGGAAGCAGAGCGUCGGAGGGAGUUUACCGCGGGUCACGCAUGUCCGGGAGCCGAGUCCGCGGCAGUUUCUUCAGGCUGGCGGGCGAGUGGGGAAGCUUUUCAGGCAGGGCAGCCACAUCUGAGGACCAGAGCCAUGCUGAGGAGCCAGAGCCUGUGACCUCCAUUUCCAUCCAGCUGAAGCCAGCUACCAUCCUCAGCAGCUGACAUCACGAGAAAGAUUUGGGGACCUUGGGAAAGUACUCAAGGGAUCCUUUCCCUGAGAUGUGGAACGUCGGGGCAGAAUGCUGAGGGCCCUCCUAUCUGGCCUGGGGUGGAGGGGAGGCAUUUGGGGCUGCACCUUCAGCUCACAGCAACCCCAUCUGCCUCCGGCUCGGUUGUUGAAUGCCACAGAACUAGUCAGCCACUGGACAGUGGUCUUUAAGAAAAGGGGCAUCCCUGAGGCCCGGGAAUCCAGUGAGUACAUCGUGGCUCAUGUCCUUGGAGCCAAAACAUUUCAGAGCCUGAGGCCAGGACUUUGGACCCAGCCCCUGAGCCCUUGGCAGUUACAGUAUGUCCAGGAGCUGAGUAGCUACCGAUUGCAAAGGAUGCCUGUGCAGUACAUCCUUGGUGAGUGGGACUUUCAGGGCCUCAGUCUGAAGAUGGCGCCCCCAGUGUUCAUCCCUCGGCCAGAAACGGAGGAGCUGGUUGAAUGGGUUCUGGAGGAGGUGACCCAAGGGCCCCAUGUGGUGGGAGCUCAAGGUGGCCCCCUCAUCCUGGAGGUGGGCUGUGGAUCAGGAGCCAUUUCCCUCAGCCUGCUGAGCAAGCUCCCACAGAGCCGAGUCAUUGCUGUGGACAAGGGAGAAGCUGCCGUCUGCCUGGCCCAUGAGAAUGCUCAGAGGCUUCGGUUGCAAGACAGGAUUCGGAUCAUCCCCUUCGAUGUGACCUUAGAGGGGAGCUGGGCACAUCUUCUACCCUGGGGCCCUGUGGACCUGGUCGUCAGCAACCCUCCCUACGUCUUCCACCGGGACAUGGAGAAGCUGGCCCCUGAGAUCCUCAGCUAUGAAGAUCCACUAGCCCUGGACGGUGGGGAGGAGGGCAUGGACAUCAUUACCCACAUCCUGGCCCUGGCACCUCGGCUCCUGAAGGACUCUGGAAGCAUCUUCUUGGAAGUGGACUCAAGACACCCAGAGCUCGUCGGCAGCUGGCUUCAGAGCCAGCCUGACCUGUCCCUCCAUCUUGUGGCUGUGCGCAGGGACUUCUGUGGGAGGAACUGGGAAGGCUCUGAGAUUUCACCCAACUCAACAAGCUAACAAGUUGCCAUAUUCCUGAGGAUGUUGGCUGAAGACACAGAUUCCUGCUUGAGAAACAAAGACCUGUCCUGCAAGUAAUGCAGGGGAGCCACAUGAAGGAAGAAGUUUCCUUACCCAGAAUCGAUACUGUUGUGACUCUUAAGGAGGUGCUCUAAAAGACUCUUAGGGUGUGAUUUUUUCAUGUUUAAAUAUUUAGUCCAUCUAGAAUUAUUGAGAUUUCCCUGUGUGAGGUAGGCAUUGGACUUCAUUUUUUUCCCAAAUCAAUAUCAAUUAUUGGAUUGAUAUUGGAUCAAUAUCAUUUAUUGGAAAUUGUGCCUGGUCUGUCACCACUCUCUUCUAAGCUGCUUGGAGGCUGUUAUUCAGAAUGUAUCACAAGCACACAAAUGAUCAAUUCACAAUAAAUGGACUAAAGAACCCAUGGGCAUCACCAUCACUGGGGAUUUGACACUUAGCGCUGGCACAAUGUGAGACAAACCCAACACCCACUCGUGAUGACACCAUUCAGACCCCAGGGAAAUGCAGGGAGGCUGUGAACCAGCCUUAGAGUUCGCAGGGGAUUUGAACACGAAUUGGGAAGGUUUCU
Balaenoptera acutorostrata (minke whale) is the source of this 2204-nucleotide RNA transcript. It is a transcript of the gene named HemK methyltransferase family member 1, with no coding region annotated. The transcript has 12 exons. The record is from RefSeq and is a predicted model, not a curated record. NCBI's taxonomy places the organism in Eukaryota, Metazoa, Chordata, Mammalia, Artiodactyla, Balaenopteridae.